CUCUUUCAUCUGCUGCUUCUCUAUUCUGAUUUUUUCACACUCAAGAAAUUCUUCGUAAACCAUUUGAGCCGACUCUUCAGGUACAAUUAUACCUGUAGUAACUGGAAUCGCACGAUGUUUACGAAAUUCAAACCCUGUAACUGCAUCCGCAUAAUCAAUGUUGAGUUUCUUGGCAAUUUUAGCAAUUCCUCGAUAUGGCAAAUGUGCUGCGCCCUUGGGGAUCAUGCUCUCAACAAAACAAUCCAUAUUACCAUAACCGUUCUUAGGAAUAAUACCAUCUUUGAUUGGAGGCGGAACAUAUAGCUCAGUUUGAUCGGAAGAAUAUAGACCCUGAAGCACUGGUUCAUUUGUUUCAGCAACCCGAAAUUCGUGUUCACGCUUCCUGCUAAUUGUGACGGCUCUCGCCUUCACCAUUUUUCGAGGUUGUUCUCCUUCCUUAAUUACUCGUCCUUCUUUGUGAUAAUUUUCAGGCGUUUUGCAUAUGACCACAUC
Schizosaccharomyces pombe (fission yeast) is the source of this 492-nucleotide non-coding RNA. Lineage: Eukaryota; Fungi; Ascomycota; Schizosaccharomycetes; Schizosaccharomycetales; Schizosaccharomycetaceae. The record is from the annotation of a GenBank genome assembly.